This is a long non-coding RNA of Photinus pyralis (common eastern firefly), 851 nucleotides long. RefSeq lists it as uncharacterized. The transcript is spliced from 5 exons. The record is from RefSeq and is a predicted model, not a curated record. Lineage: Eukaryota; Metazoa; Arthropoda; Insecta; Coleoptera; Lampyridae.
GAAUAUAGGAGGCAGGGGUCGUGGGUGCUCGGCUGGGGCAAAAACUAACCAGUCACACUAAACGGAGGGACAUCACGGCUUGAGUAGGGGACGCACAAUAGUAACUUAUAAGUCUGACGCUCGACAAAUAAAAUGGACGGCUAGCGGAAUAAGGCCUUAUUGGGGUAGCGAUCUUAGGUAAAAUAACAAAUGCUCAUUUACGUUAGAGGCGGUAAAUAGUACUUGCGUAGUUCCCUUUUGGCUUUAUGAAAUUUAGUACCAAACACUCAAAUCGCUCAGCACCUACCCGGUAUAUAACAAGUUGCCGUAUUAGUAGUGCUAAUAAACUUUAAAGUAGUCACAAUGUAUUCAUUUGGCAAGUGAAAAAUUAAACAAGCAUGAAGUGCUACGCUAAUUAAGUUUGGUUUAUUAUAAAUAGAUUAAGUUAACAGUCGAAAGGAUGAUUAGGUACACCUGCAGCGGUGCAGCUAUGGAUUCCUAAACUGAUUUAAGGGUGAUCGCCUUGCCCACAAUCUUAAUGCUGGUAUAGACCCGACAUGCUUCACGACAGGAGCGGUAGGUAAGUAAAAUUAGUCUGACCUUGCUUUUGAUCUAAUUCAAACUGGUGGAAUUACGGAUGUCCAAAAAGGUGGUUGAAGCCAGGGUUUUUCCACAGGACUCUUAUCAGAUUGGGUCUCCACUAGUCGCUAUCAGAUUGGGCUCGUUAGAUAAUACCAGAGAAUAGGAAAGCGGCCUAUGGAUUAAUGGGUCUUAAUAAAAAGUGAUCGGAGAUUGUACUCACCAGUGGUAUAAAGUUUAAAUUUAAAACAAUUAUAUUCAGCUCAACAACUGACCACCAGCCUCGCCUUAUA